AUCCUUAAAAACCGAAAGUUCAAGAUAAUUCUUUUUAAUUGUAUUUGUGUUUUUCUGGGUUUUUUUUAUCAGGGAUGCAUCUGUCCUUCAAGGUCAGAAGUCAAGGUUAUACCAAAGUUCAAGGUCAUUGUUUUUAAUUGUGUAUGAGUAUUACUUAAAAACGAAAGUUCAAGGUCAUUCUUUUUAAUUAUAUUUGUGUAUUUCUCUUUUUAAAUUAUGUGUUCAUUUGUUCUUUGAGGUAAGAGUUGAGGGUCAGAGUUCAAGAUAAGAGUUUAAGGUCAUACCAAAGAUCAAGGUCAUUCUUUCUAAUUGUAUUUGUUUAUUUCUCAUUUUUAAAUAAUGGAUGCAUCUAUUUUACAAGGUCAGAGUUUAAGGUCAUACCUAAGUUCAAGGUCAUUCUUUUUAAUUGUAUUUGUGUAUUUCUCUUUUGUAAUCAUGGAUGCAUCUGUU
Molecule: long non-coding RNA, 450 nt
Filed under: Mytilus galloprovincialis (Mediterranean mussel)
Lineage: Eukaryota; Metazoa; Mollusca; Bivalvia; Mytilida; Mytilidae
Source: RNAcentral